Molecule: ribosomal RNA, 644 nt
Filed under: uncultured bacterium
Lineage: Bacteria
Description: bacterial SSU rRNA
Rfam family: Bacterial small subunit ribosomal RNA
Source: RNAcentral
CGCGGCCUAUCAGCUUGUUGGUGGGGUAGUGGCCUACCAAGGCGGCGACGGGUAGCCGGCCUGAGAGGGUGACCGGCCACAUUGGGACUGAGAUACGGCCCAGACUCCUACGGGAGGCAGCAGUGGGGAAUAUUGCACAAUGGGCGCAAGCCUGAUGCAGCAACGCCGCGUGCGGGAUGACGGCCUUCGGGUUGUAAACCGCUUUCAGCAGGGACGAGGCUUUUUGUGACGGUACCUGCAGAAGAAGCACCGGCUAACUACGUGCCAGCAGCCGCGGUGAUACGUAGGGUGCGAGCGUUGUCCGGAUUUAUUGGGCGUAAAGGGCUCGUAGGCGGUUGAUCGCGUCGGAAGUGGAAACUUGAUGCUUAACGUUGAGCGUGCUUUCGAUACGGGUUGACUUGAGGAAGGUAGGGGAGAAUGGAAUUCCUGGUGGAGCGGUGGAAUGCGCAGAUAUCAGGAGGAACACCAGUGGCGAAGGCGGUUCUCCGGACCUUUCCUGACGCUGAGGAGCGAAAGCGUGGGGAGCGAACAGGCUUAGAUACCCUGGUAGUCCACGCUGUAAACGGUGGGUACUAGGUGUGGGGUCCAUUCCACGGAUUCUGUGCCGUAGCUAACGCAUUAAGUACCCCGCCUGGGGAGUACGG